AACGAACGCUGGCGGCGUGGAUAAGACAUGCAAGUCGAACGGGAUCAUUGAGGUAGCAAUAUCGCGAUGGUCUAGUGGCGAACGGGUGCGUAACACGUGGAUACAUUCCGGGAAGCGGGGGAUAGCCCAGGGAAACUUGGAUUAAUACCGCAUGUGGUUGAAAAACUAAAGGCAGGGACCGCAAGGCCUGCCACUUCCCGAUUGGUCCGCGGCCUAUCAGCUAGUUGGCGGGGUAACAGCCCACCAAGGCUACGACGGGUAGCUGGUCUUAGAGGACGACCAGCCACACUGGAACUGAGACACGGUCCAGACACCUACGGGUGGCAGCAGUCGAGAAUCUUUCACAAUGGGGGCAACCCUGAUGGAGCGACGCCGCGUGGAGGAUAAGGUCUUCGGAUUGUAAACUCCUGUCAUGUGUGGACAAGGCUGCCGUGUUAAUAGCAUGGCAGAUUGAUGGUAACACAAGAGGAAGAGACGGCUAACUCUGUGCCAGCAGCCGACGG
RNAcentral lists this ribosomal RNA (503 nucleotides) under uncultured bacterium. RNAcentral's name for it is "bacterial SSU rRNA". It matches the Rfam family "Bacterial small subunit ribosomal RNA", at positions 29 to 520 of the family's 1533-position model. The record is from RNAcentral.